Cimex lectularius (bed bug) is the source of this 864-nucleotide long non-coding RNA. RefSeq lists it as uncharacterized. The transcript is spliced from 2 exons. The record is from RefSeq and is a predicted model, not a curated record. Lineage: Eukaryota; Metazoa; Arthropoda; Insecta; Hemiptera; Cimicidae.
CCAGAUUUAUAUUUUCAUGUAACUUUUGUCUUGGAAAAAAUCCCAUGAACUAUGUACAAAAAAAUUCUGAAACAUUCAGUCGAGGAAUGCAAAAUAACAAAGCUAUGGAAAGACCACAAGAGACAGAAAAGGAAAAUCCUUUCCAAAUCUGAUCUUGCUGAGAAAACAGUCGAGAAUGAACAAGACGGUAAGAUAGAUGAAAUAGAAGAAUAAGCGAAUUUGCUAUAGGUGAGGUGAUGUUUAUUCUACAUAUUCAAACUAAUAAUAUUUAUUAACGUUUAAAAUAGUACAAACACUUUAUUUCCAAAGUAAAUGAGAUAACAUUGAUUUGUAACGUUUUAAAAAAGAUAGAGCACUGAGAAAACCUGUUUUAAAGUUUUGUACAAAGAUCUCCUCAGCCUUAAGACUUCUGGUUGAUGAAAAGCAAAGAAUUUGGUGAACAGUUAGUUUCCAGUAGGGGUUUUAGGGGGACAACUUAAUAUUUUUAUGCAAUUUGAUUAUAAUCGUAAAAGGGUUGUGCUGAUGAUCUUUAGAUUAGAUAAAAAAUAAAGUAUCUACUUUUAAAUCAAACCAGAAAUGUUUAUUGUUAGAGGUAAUACGGGACAUUCCUCUAAACAUUAAUGAAGUGAGAUAAUUUAAGCUUUGUAAGCUUACAAAUAUGGAUCCGAGGAUAAAAUUUCACAUCUUUGCACUGUAAAAAAUUAUGGACUCAAAAUUACACUAUCACAAAAAAUAAUAACGAGAACAGAUUAUUAUAUCGAAAACAUCGCUGACAUUAAACCCCCAAUAGAUGGAGCCAUAACUUCUUACGAGUAAUUUUUUUCGUUGCUGAAAAAUUUUCAUUCCAUUACUUGUAUGAACGAA